CCUACGGGAGGCAGCAGUGAGGAAUAUUGGUCAAUGGACGAGAGUCUGAACCAGCCAAGUCGCGUGAAGGAUGACUGCCCUAUGGGUUGUAAACUUCUUUUAUAGAGGAAUAAAACGAGGCACGUGUGCCUCUUUGCAUGUACUUUAUGAACAAGGAUCGGCUAACUCCGUGCCAGCAGCCGCGGUAAUACGGAGGAUCCGAGCGUUAUCCGGAUUUAUUGGGUUUAAAGGGAGCGCAGAUGGGUAGUUAAGUCAGUUGUGAAAGUUUGCGGCUCAACCGUAAAAUUGCAAUUGAUACUGGCAGUCUUGAGUACAGAAGAGGUAGGCGGAAUUCGUGGUGUAGCGGUGAAAUGCGUAGAUAUCACGAAGAACACCGAUGGCGAAGGCAGCUUACUGGUCUGCAACUGACACUGAUGCUCGAAAGUGUGGGUAUCGAACAGGAUUAGAUACCCUAGUAGUC
RNAcentral lists this ribosomal RNA (460 nucleotides) under uncultured bacterium. RNAcentral describes it as "partial 16S ribosomal RNA". It matches the Rfam family "Bacterial small subunit ribosomal RNA", at positions 338 to 795 of the family's 1533-position model. The record is from RNAcentral.